UAAUGAGUAUAGAUUUCUAUUUGUUAUAAAGAUGCUAGUCCUUUCAUGAUUAUGUGAUAGGUGGUGCAUGGCCGUUCUUAGUUCGUGGAGUGAUCUGUCUGCUUAAUUGCGUUUCACUAAGGUCCCAGUAAUCUAAGGUAUGCUCGUCUACUUAUCUCAUAUGACGCUGAUAGACCCCUCGUAAGAGCGCGUUGUCUAUUGCGUUAAUAUAUGUAACAAGUGACACAUACUGUUGGGAUCUGAAAGCAACGAACGUGACCGCAACGUCUUGUUGCCUUUCUAAUUUAUUCUAAUUCUUUUGUAAUUAGUUUAAUAACAAAGGCUAUUCUUUAAACUAGACGGACCGCUGUUUCUCUUUUAAACCAGAGGAAGGUUGCGGCAAUAACAGGUCUGUGAUGC
Molecule: ribosomal RNA, 399 nt
Filed under: Globorotalia hirsuta
Lineage: Eukaryota; Foraminifera; Rotaliida; Globorotaliidae
Description: bacterial SSU rRNA
Rfam family: Eukaryotic small subunit ribosomal RNA
Source: RNAcentral